Molecule: ribosomal RNA, 406 nt
Filed under: uncultured bacterium
Lineage: Bacteria
Description: partial 16S ribosomal RNA
Rfam family: Bacterial small subunit ribosomal RNA
Source: RNAcentral
AUUGAACGCUGGCGGCAGGCCUAACACAUGCAAGUCGAGCGAGCGGCGGACGGGUGAGUAAUGCCUAGGAAUCUGCCUGGUAGUGGGGGAUAACGUCCGGAAACGGGCGCUAAUACCGCAUACCAUCGGAUGUGCCCAGAUGGGAUUAGCUAGUAGGUGGGUUAACGGCUCACCUAGGCGACGAUCCCUAGCUGGUCUGAGAGCAUGACCAGCCACACUGCACCUGAGACACGGUCCAGAAGCCUACGUGAGGCAGAAGUGGGGAAUAUUGCACAAUGGGCGCAAGUCUGAUGCAGCCAUGCCGCGUGUAUGAAGAAGGCCGUCGGGUUGUAAAGUACUGUCAGCGAGGAGGCGUUACUCGCAGAAGAAGCACCGGCUAACUCCGUGCCAGCAGCCGCGGUAAUAC